This 414-nucleotide long non-coding RNA is filed under the name Mus caroli (Ryukyu mouse). RNAcentral describes it as "predicted gene 16343 (MGP_CAROLIEiJ_G0004248.1)". The record is from RNAcentral. Lineage: Eukaryota; Metazoa; Chordata; Mammalia; Rodentia; Muridae.
GCCUGAUAACGAAGCACCUGCUUUGAGGCGCCAGGUUUGGCGCUAGAUAGAAUGGUCAGUGAUUGCAUCUUUGUGAAGCUCUAGUUGGUAACUGGGCUAAUGCCCAAAUUCCCAGGUGUUUAUACCUGCAAGUGUGGGGACUCAGUUCCUGGGAUGAUGUAUGAGACCUUGCUGUUUGGUGAUCGACCGUGAGACCCUGGAUCAGCAUAGCCGUGGAAAUGAGCAGGGGUGCAUUAGUGAGUACACGCAUAAGUAACGUGUGUGUUCAUGCAGUUGUGAGUUACGAGUUCACUGAAUCACAGGCUGCUUACUGAGAUGAUCUGGUUGCUCAGGUCCGGGCUUGCCUGCCAAGGUAGGAAAGUAGAAGGGAAAGGCAUGGCCCCGCCCAGUAUAAAGCAGUUGUCUGGGCCUGCA